UUGGGCGUCAUUUUUUUAUCACUGAUUCGACUUUGAUAGAACUUGGGUACAGGAGGAGUUUUCAUUUGUUGAUAAAACAUUUCGGCUUCUGUCGGUGACAUGGGCCCAGCUAGCGCUUGAAGCAUCAUCUGAGGCUCAACUGGGGCGAGUUUGGCAUCAAAGGCUCGUCUGGUGAUUUUAGUGUGACAUCGGGUGACCAAGGCUUUCCAACACGAGCAGGUGACGAAAAAUCUGAGGGUCGCAAAACUGGUAUAAAAUACCUUUGACUCAGAAGCAACUUCAUUUGAGCUUCUAAUUCUGGCGAAGGAUUCUUACAAGAUGAACAAACAAUCUAAAGAAAUUAAAUCUAUCAUUCGACAUGUUGGAAAUUUGGAAAGUGUGUAAAAUUGAAUAAAAUAUUAUAAUUACGUCA
Molecule: long non-coding RNA, 412 nt
Organism: Daphnia pulex (common water flea)
Lineage: Eukaryota; Metazoa; Arthropoda; Branchiopoda; Diplostraca; Daphniidae
Exons: 2
Source: RefSeq, a predicted model, not a curated record